GGGAGAUGCAUUCACUUCCUUUUGAGUUCAUAAACAGUGAAUAAAUUCUAGAUAAUAAAGCAGCUUGUGAAACAAUGAUUUCCCAUAUCCCUGAGGGAAGAGACUGUGUAAUUCAUCUUUGCAUCUCCCAUAACAUCUAACACAAAGCACAGUACAUUGGAG
Non-coding RNA from Equus caballus (horse), 162 nucleotides. NCBI's taxonomy places the organism in Eukaryota, Metazoa, Chordata, Mammalia, Perissodactyla, Equidae. The record is from RefSeq and is a predicted model, not a curated record.